AGAGUUUGAUCAUGGCUCAGGAUGAACGCUGGCGGCGUGCCUAAUACAUGCAAGUCGAGCGGUAAGGCGUCUUCGGACGUACACGAGCGGCGGACGGCAGAGUAACGCGUAGGAAUCUACCCCGAAGUGAGGGAUAAGCACCAGAAAUGGUGUCUAAUACCGCAUGUUGUCUUCGGACUAAAGCUUUAUGUGCUUUGGGA
Molecule: ribosomal RNA, 200 nt
Filed under: uncultured bacterium
Lineage: Bacteria
Description: partial 16S ribosomal RNA
Rfam family: Bacterial small subunit ribosomal RNA
Source: RNAcentral